AUUGAACGCUGGCGGCAUGCUUUACACAUGCAAGUCGAACGGCAGCGCGGGCUUCGGCCUGGCGGCGAGUGGCGAACGGGUGAGUAAUAUAUCGGAACGUACCCAAGAGUGGGGGAUAACGUAGCGAAAGUUACGCUAAUACCGCAUACGAUCUAAGGAUGAAAGCAGGGGAUCGCAAGACCUUGUGCUCCUGGAGCGGCCGAUAUCUGAUUAGCUAGUUGGUGAGGUAAAGGCUCACCAAGGCAACGAUCAGUAGCUGGUCUGAGAGGACGACCAGCCACACUGGAACUGAGACACGGUCCAGACUCCUACGGGAGGCAGCAGUGGGGAAUUUUGGACAAUGGGGGCAACCCUGAUCCAGCAAUGCCGCGUGAGUGAAGAAGGCCUUCGGGUUGUAAAGCUCUUUUGUCAGGGAAGAAAAGGGUCUGGCUAAUAUCCAGAUCUGCUGACGGUACCUGAAGAAUAAGCACCGGCUAACUACGUGCCAGCAGCCGCGGUAAUACGUAGGGUGCAAGCGUUAAUCGGAAUUACUGGGCGUAAAGCGUGCGCAGGCGGUUUCGUAAGUCUGUCGUGAAAUCCCCGGGCUUAACCUGGGAAUGGCGAUGGAGACUGCGAGGCUAGAGUUUGGCAGAGGGGGGUAGAAUUCCACGUGUAGCAGUGAAAUGCGUAGAGAUGUGGAGGAACACCGAUGGCGAAGGCAGCCCCCUGGGUCAAAACUGACGCUCAUGCACGAAAGCGUGGGGAGCAAACAGGAUUAGAUACCCUGGUAGUCCACGCCCUAAACGAUGUCUACUAGUUGUUGGGUCUUAAUUGACUUAGUAACGCAGCUAACGCGUGAAGUAGACCGCCUG
Molecule: ribosomal RNA, 851 nt
Filed under: uncultured bacterium
Lineage: Bacteria
Description: bacterial SSU rRNA
Rfam family: Bacterial small subunit ribosomal RNA
Source: RNAcentral